RNAcentral lists this ribosomal RNA (1433 nucleotides) under uncultured bacterium. Its description in RNAcentral is "16S ribosomal RNA". It matches the Rfam family "Bacterial small subunit ribosomal RNA". The record is from RNAcentral.
AGAGUUUGAUCCUGGCUCAGGAUGAACGCUGGCGGCGUGCCUAACACAUGCAAGUCGAGCGAGAAACCAUCGAUUGAAACUUCGGUAGAUAUUGAAGGCGGAAAGCGGCGGACGGGUGAGUAACGCGUAGGCAACCUGCCCUUUGCAGAGGGAUAGCAACGGGAAACUGUUAUUAAAACCUCAUAAUACCGACAUGUCUAAUGAUGAAACGGUCAAAGAUUUAUCGGCAAAGGAUGGGCCUGCGUCUGAUUAGUUAGUUGGUAGGGUAACGGCCUACCAAGGCAGCGAUCAGUAGCCGACCUGAGAGGGUGAUCGGCCACAUUGGAACUGAGACACGGUCCAAACUCCUACGGGAGGCAGCAGUGGGGAAUAUUGCACAAUGGGCGAAAGCCUGAUGCAGCAACGCCGCGUGAAGGAUGAAGGCCUUUGGGUCGUAAACUUCUGUCCUUGGGGAAGAAAAAAAUGACGGUACCCCUGGAGGAAGUCCCGGCUAACUACGUGCCAGCAGCCGCGGUAAUACGUAGGGGGCAAGCGUUGUCCGGAAUCACUGGGCGUAAAGCGCGCGUAGGUGGUCUAGUAAGUCAGAUGUUAAAAUGCGGGGCUCAACCCCGUAAUGCAUUUGAAACUGCUGGACUUGAGGACAGGAGAGGAAAGUGGAAUUCCUAGUGUAGCGGUGAAAUGCGUAGAUAUUAGGAGGAACACCAGUGGCGAAGGCGACUUUCUGGACUGUACCUGACACUGAGGUGCGAAAGCGUGGGGAGCAAACAGGAUUAGAUACCCUGGUAGUCCACGCCGUAAACGAUGGGUACUAGGUGUAGGGGGUUUAGAUACCUUCUGUGCCGCAGUUAACGCAUUAAGUACCCCGCCUGGGGAGUACGAUCGCAAGAUUGAAACUCAAAGGAAUUGACGGGGGCCCGCACAAGCAGCGGAGCAUGUGGUUUAAUUCGAAGCAACGCGAAGAACCUUACCAGGACUUGACAUCCUCUGAAGCUAUUAGAGAUAAUAGUGUCCCUUCGGGGCAGAGAGACAGGUGGUGCAUGGUUGUCGUCAGCUCGUGUCGUGAGAUGUUGGGUUAAGUCCCGCAACGAGCGCAACCCUUAUCCUUAGUUGCCAGCAAGUAAUGUUGGGCACUCUAGGGAGACUGCCGGUGAUAAACCGGAGGAAGGUGGGGAUGACGUCAAAUCAUCAUGCCCCUUAUGUCCUGGGCUACACACGUGCUACAAUGGCCUGAACAACGGGAAGCUAAGGAGUGAUCUGGAGCAAAUCCCUAAAAACAGGUCUCAGUUCGGAUUGUAGGCUGCAACUCGCCUACAUGAAGUCGGAGUUGCUAGUAAUCGUGGAUCAGAAUGUCACGGUGAAUGCGUUCCCGGGCCUUGUACACACCGCCCGUCACACCACGAAAGUUUACAACACCCGAAGCCGGUGGGCUAACC